This 342-nucleotide ribosomal RNA is filed under the name Triticum aestivum (bread wheat). RNAcentral describes it as "partial small subunit ribosomal RNA". The record is from RNAcentral. Lineage: Eukaryota; Viridiplantae; Streptophyta; Magnoliopsida; Poales; Poaceae.
AUGCCUCACGAUGGAGCUCCGGAGUGCGGGCUGGAUGGUGUCGCCGGCGCAUGCACCCGGGGAGUUGCGGGCGCGGUCUCGCCGCCAUCCUCGCUGGGGCCGACCUGGGUGCCACGCCCCGCCCCAUUCCGCUGUGCGGACGUCGACGAUGACGAGGCCGAGGCGGGUGUCCGAGUGGAGUGGCAAGUAUCCCUUGCUCCGCCAUCCUUAGGCGAGUUCCUCGCGUUAGCUAAGCCCGCGGGCUCGCAGUUAGCGGUCUGGCGCGCGCCUACCGGCGGGGGCUGUAGGUUAGCCACUCCGGGCGGUUCGGCUCGUGGUCCUCAUUGCCGGUGCUGCUGGUGA